This 459-nucleotide ribosomal RNA is filed under the name uncultured bacterium. RNAcentral describes it as "bacterial SSU rRNA". It matches the Rfam family "Bacterial small subunit ribosomal RNA", at positions 9 to 441 of the family's 1533-position model. The record is from RNAcentral.
GAGUUUGAUCCUGGCUCAGGAUGAACGCUGGCGGCGUGCUUAACACAUGCAAGUCGAACGGAACUGUCAUUUUUGAAGCAAUUAGCUUGCUAAGGGUGGAAAUGUUGGCAGUUUAGUGGCGGACGGGUGAGUAACGCGUGGGUAACCUGCCUUACACAGGGGGAUAACACCUGGAAACAGGUGCUAAUACCGCAUAACAGGAAGAGGCGCAUGCCACUUUCUUGAAAACUCCGGUGGUGUAAGAUGGACCCGCGUCUGGUUAGCUGGUUGGCGGGGCAACGGCCCACCAAGGCGACGAUCAGUAGCCGGCCUGAGAGGGUGGACGGCCACAUUGGGACUGAGACACGGCCCAAACUCCUACGGGAGGCAGCAGUGGGGAAUAUUGGACAAUGGGGGGAACCCUGAUCCAGCGACGCCGCGUAGUAAAGAAGUAUUUCGGUAUGUAAAGCUCUAUCAGCA